This 1374-nucleotide ribosomal RNA is filed under the name Triticum aestivum (bread wheat). RNAcentral describes it as "partial small subunit ribosomal RNA". Lineage: Eukaryota; Viridiplantae; Streptophyta; Magnoliopsida; Poales; Poaceae. The record is from RNAcentral.
AUGGCCAUGUCCGUGGGCAAGCAAUGGACGCGGGUGCGCACGCUCGGCCGCGGCGCCUCGGGGGCCGAGGUCUUCCUCGCCGCGGACGACGUCUCCGGGGAGCUCUUCGCGGUCAAGUCCGCCGCGGGGGCGACCUGUGCGGCGGCGCUGAGGAGGGAGCAGUGCGUGAUGGCCGGCCUGCGAUCACAGCGCGUCGUCUCCUGCAUCGGCGGCCGCGGCGCCCGCGACGGCUCCUACCACCUCUUCCUCGAGUUCGCCCCCGGCGGCUCGCUGGCGGACCAUCUGGAAAGCGGGCUUGACGAGCGUGCCGUCUGCGGCUACGCGGCCGACGUGGCGGCCGGGCUCGCGUACCUCCAUGGCGCCGGGAUGGUGCACGGGGACGUCAAGGCGAGGAACGUCGUGAUCGGCGCCGACGGCCGCGCCAAGCUCGCCGAUUUCGGGUGCUCGAGGAAGGCGGGCGCUGACGUGCCAAUCAUCGGCGGCACGCCGGCGUUCAUGGCACCGGAGGUGGCGCGCGGCGAGGAGCAGGGCCCCGCGGCCGACGUCUGGGCGCUCGGCUGCAUGGUUGUCGAGAUGGCCACUGGACGCGCGCCCUGGAGCGGCAUGGACGGCGACGCGCUCGGGGCGCUGCACCGGAUCGGCUACACGGAGGCCGUGCCCGAGGUUCCGAAAUGGCUGUCCGCCGACGCCAAGGACUUCUUGGCCAGAUGCCUUGUCAGGCAAGCCAGCGAUCGGUGCACGUCGGCGCAGCUGCUGGAGCACCCGUUCUUGGCUUCCGCCGACGUCGAGGCGAAGCCGGAAGCCGUCGAGAGCAAAAGCAAAUGGGUGUCGCCGAAGAGCACGCUGGACGCGGCAUUCUGGGAGUCGGAGUCCGACGCCGACGAGGCGGAGCACGACAGCACGGCAGAGAUGAGGAUCAUGGCAUUGGCUUGCUCCGCGUCGGCGCUCCCGGACUGGGACUCUGACGAGGGAUGGAUCGAUGUGCUCUCCGCGCCAAUCGAAGCACCAGACGCAGUGACCGAGGAGAGGAUCGACCUGGACGACGACGCUAUCACAACUGAAGAACCCAGCGGCGCAGGGUCCGGGGUUCUCGCCCUUAUUACCGUGGACGUGGAGUGCAUCGACGAUGGCGGCGCCGUCGUCGGAGCGGGAGCGGGAGAUGCAUAUGAUGAUGAUUCACUCGGGCACAGUAGUAGGCAUCGGUCUUUGAAUGCUGUAGCUUCUCACCAGUUAGUACCAUGUAAAUUGUUGCUCUGCAACAGAAAGACAAAUGCAACUGAUUUCGUUCUUGCACGAGCACUCAGUUUCAUACCGAUCUCUGUUUCUCCGCUCAUGCUUUGCUUCCUCUCCCCCGAUCGCGACACGUUGGAUUAG